CCUACGGGAGGCAGCAGUAGGGAAUAUUGCUCAAUGGGGGAAACCCUGAAGCAGCAACGCCGCGUGGAGGAUGAUGGUUUUCGGAUUGUAAACUCCUUUUGUUAGAGAAGAUAAUGACGGUAUCUAACGAAUAAGCACCGGCGAACUCCGUGCCAGCAGCCGCGGUAAUACGGAGGGUGCAAGAGUUACUCGGAAUCACUGGGCGUAAGGAGCGCGUAGGCGGGAUAGCAAGUCAGAUGUGAAAUCCUAUGGCUUAACCAUAGAACUGCAUUUGAAACUGUUAUUCUAGAGUAUGGGAGAGGUAGGUGGAAUUCUUGGUGUAGGGGUAAAAUCCGUAGAGAUCAAGAGGAAUACUCAUUGCGAAGGCGACCUGCUAGAACAUAACUGACGCUGAUGCGCGAAAGCGUGGGGAGCAAACAGGAUUAGAUACCCUUGUAGUC
RNAcentral lists this ribosomal RNA (440 nucleotides) under uncultured bacterium. Its description in RNAcentral is "partial 16S ribosomal RNA". It matches the Rfam family "Bacterial small subunit ribosomal RNA", at positions 338 to 795 of the family's 1533-position model. The record is from RNAcentral.